GGGUGAGGAUAAGCCAUGCGAGUUGAAUGGGAUACCUAAAAAUCCCAUGGCAAACUGCUCAGUAACACAUGAUCAACUUACCCUAUAGAGGAAAAUAACCUCGGGAAACUGAGGAUAAUGUUCCAUAAUUGAAUCGGCUUGGAAAAGUUUUUCAAUAAAAGGGAUAAGGAAAAUGGUUCUUAUCUGCUAUAGGAUAGGAUCGUGCUCGAUUAUGGUUGUUGGUGAGGUAAAGGCUCACCAAGCCGAUAAUCGAUAGGGGCCGUGAGAGCGGGAGCCCCGAGAUGGGUACUAAGACAACGACCCAGGCCUUACGAGGCGCAGCAGGCGCGAAACCUCCGCAAUACACGAAAGUGUGACGGGGUUACCCAAAGUGUUCUAUUUAGAACUGUGGUAGGUGAGUAAUGUCCCCUACUAGAAAGGAGAGGGCAAGGCUGGUGCCAGCCGCCGCGGUAAAACCAGCUCUUCAAGUGGUCGGGAUAAUUAUUGGGCUUAAAGUGUCCGUAGCCGGUUUAGUAAGUUCCUGGUAAAAUCGGGUAGCUUAACUAUCUAUAUGCUAGGAAUACUACUAUACUAGAGGGCGGGAGAGGUCUGAGGUACUACAGGGGUAGGGGUGAAAUCUUAUAAUCCUUGUAGGACCACCAGUGGCGAAGGCGUCAGACUGGAACGCGCCUGACGGUGAGGGACGAAAGCCAGGGGAGCGAACCGGAUUAGAUACCCGGGUAGUCCUGGCCGUAAACGAUGCAUACUAGGUGAUGGCAUGGCCAUGAGCCAUGUCAGUGCCGUAGGGAAACCGUUAAGUGUGCCGCCUGGGAAGUACGGUCGCAAGGCUAAAACUUAA
This 838-nucleotide ribosomal RNA is filed under the name uncultured archaeon. Its description in RNAcentral is "bacterial SSU rRNA". It matches the Rfam family "Archaeal small subunit ribosomal RNA", at positions 36 to 859 of the family's 1478-position model. The record is from RNAcentral.